Molecule: long non-coding RNA, 416 nt
Filed under: Nicotiana tabacum (common tobacco)
Lineage: Eukaryota; Viridiplantae; Streptophyta; Magnoliopsida; Solanales; Solanaceae
Description: long non-coding RNA (NTAB_LNC014429)
Source: RNAcentral
GGAAACCCCCAGCAAGCAACUUUGUCCACCAACCAGUUAUGGGGGCACAGAGCAAGAAAAGGGAAAGAGAGGAAAAAUCAUCCACCGGAAAGGCACCUCCUCCCACCAUGAUUAAAACUAACUAAAUCCUUUUGUCUGCUGCAGGAAAACAAAGGAUUGAUGAUGGCAGCAGGAUGCGAUGCCAGGGAAGUCACCAAAACCGGGGUAGAAAACUUUCUGCCGAUUGUCAAAAAUUUUCUCGGAAGAACGAGGAAACAAUUUUAAUACUUUUCAGCUCUAGGUCUCCCACCAGUAAAAUGCGGAAAUACUUUUCAGCUCUAGGUCGCCCACCAGUAAAAUGCGGGAAUACUUUUCAGCUCUAGGUCGCCCACCAGUAAAAUGCGGGAAUACUUUUCAGCUCUAGGUCGCCUACCAGU